Chenopodium quinoa (quinoa) is the source of this 1087-nucleotide long non-coding RNA. RefSeq lists it as uncharacterized. The transcript has 2 exons. NCBI's taxonomy places the organism in Eukaryota, Viridiplantae, Streptophyta, Magnoliopsida, Caryophyllales, Amaranthaceae. The record is from RefSeq and is a predicted model, not a curated record.
AUGUUAGCUUCAUCCUUCUUUUCCCCUCUUUUUUGCUCUUUUAGCAUAAGUCACUUUCUCUCUCUUCGAAUUGCUCUUCCUCUACUUUCUCUUUCUUCACGACUCAAAUUCAAUUUCAAGAUUGCUCAGUUUCUUAUUCAAUGGAAAGAACGUUUAGGAAGAGAAGAGGUCUUCGUUCUUCAGACGCAAAUCGCAUUAAUCAACAAAUUCCUGAGUUGCAAAUUUAGCAUUGGAGGUGGCACUAUGUCUUGGUCAGAUUUGGGUUGGAUCGCAGUCAGAUGAUGAGUUAUUUGGGUGAUUUGGGUUGUAUAAUGAUUUUUGGAAGUAAUCGAGUUGAAAUGGAUUUUUGUACAUUACUAUAGUAGUAGAUUUCAAUUGUGGGAUGAGUAGGAUCUCUGUUGUACUUAAACAAAGCAUGCCCUUGUUUCAAUCAUGGUAAAGAUGACACUAUCCGAUACUUCUCAGCUCAUGAGCUCAACAACAUGAAUGUGGAGUUCUGGCACAAUAAUUGCAACUGGUACCAAGGUUCUUUGGAAGGGAAAGCUGUUUUGGUAAAGUUGCUAGAAAGUUUACUUGGUGUCGUUGGUGGUCUAACUUAUAAUGACAGUAAUGUGAGUAUCUUUCUAUUAAUCAUGUUAGACAAAAUGGCAAUGUGUUAUCCACUUGUCUGCUAGAUUAGCUCCUGCUAAUGGUGUAGAACAAUCCUUUGUAAACUCUUUCCCCAAGGCGUUUUAGCUUUCGUGGAUUUGGACUCUUGUUGAUAUAAUACUAUUGCUUCCAUGUUUUCCCCUAAAAAAAGCUUUAUGGGCAUGAUAAAUGACAAUAGUGUUUGUUGGGUUGGCUUCCUCCGUUAAAUUUCUACUUAAUUAGUUUGAUUAGUUGUAGUUUUUACUUUAAUGUUUAUGCUUGUAUAAGUUUUGUUUAAAGUCUGUUAACUCUAUUGGUAGAGCACUGUGCAAGUGCACAUUGAUGUAGGUUCGAAUCCUGCAUAGGCUAUGAAAAGUUGAUUAUCUUUAGAGGGUGACUUCAUUUAAAUAAAGAUCACUAUAUGCAAAAAAAAAAAAAAAAAAAAAAAAAAAAAAAAAAA